RNAcentral lists this ribosomal RNA (164 nucleotides) under Erysimum cheiri. RNAcentral's name for it is "5.8S ribosomal RNA". It matches the Rfam family "5.8S ribosomal RNA". From Rfam's summary of the family: 5.8S ribosomal RNA (5.8S rRNA) is a component of the large subunit of the eukaryotic ribosome. It is transcribed by RNA polymerase I as part of the 45S precursor that also contains 18S and 28S rRNA. Lineage: Eukaryota; Viridiplantae; Streptophyta; Magnoliopsida; Brassicales; Brassicaceae. RNAcentral also lists the same sequence under 1 other name. The record is from RNAcentral.
AAAACGACUCUCGGCAACGGAUAUCUCGGCUCUCGCAUCGAUGAAGAACGUAGCGAAAUGCGAUACUUGGUGUGAAUUGCAGAAUCCCGUGAACCAUCGAGUCUUUGAACGCAAGUUGCGCCCCAAGCCUUUUGGCUGAGGGCACGUCUGCCUGGGUGUCACAA